Long non-coding RNA from Acyrthosiphon pisum (pea aphid), 1018 nucleotides. RefSeq lists it as uncharacterized. NCBI's taxonomy places the organism in Eukaryota, Metazoa, Arthropoda, Insecta, Hemiptera, Aphididae. The record is from RefSeq and is a predicted model, not a curated record. The transcript is spliced from 2 exons.
UUUCAGUGGAGCCGAAUUCUGCCUUAGCUUUAAAAUUAAAUUACUUAAAUAAUUUAUUGGAUACUUGGAACAUAGUAUUAUGAUAAUUAUUAGUUUGUGGGUCAAAAAGGCCCACACAAUUAAUCAAUUUUAUAAAAGUACCAAUCGUUGUUUAGGUUAGACUAUUACAACUUAAUUUUUAAAUUUAAUUACUACGGUUUAGUGAAGAUCCCACGAAAAACGAUAAAUGGUACACAUAGUGCAUAGAAAACAAGUAUAUUAUUUCUGUUCAUUAUAUUAAACUAAUGCCAGCAGUCUCGUUAUAUAAAUUAUUAUUUACUUUAAAAGAUAUUCAAAAUGUAAUAUUUUGAAAUUGUUCGGGUUCAAAGUUCGGUGCCACUGAUUUGAUAUACAAGUGACAAUAAAUGAUUAUAAAUGUUUGUUUUUUUAAAUUUGUUUUAGAUAUAUUCUCAUCAAUGUUUAUCACGACUGGGGUAAAAUAAUUGUUCUAUGAAAGUCUAUAAUCAUGAUAAGUGGACAAAUAUUUAUGAUAUAAAUAAAAAAUACAUGCGGAAUACUGAUUAGUUCGAUCCGAUAAACCACCAAUGUGUCUAAAAGUUAGAAAAUUGACGCAGCUUAUCAAGUUUUUUGUGACUAAAAAAAUCAUACGCUCCGUGAGGAUUGCACACGUAAUUAAACGUUUCCUGCAGACCUCGUCAAAAUUGAUGCUAGAAACAUAUAUUGCUUUUAGUAUACGUAUACGUUAAAUUGACUCUCAGCAAAACCUUAGAAGUAGAGAAGCCAAAAGCGGAGAACGUUCUUGGAUGAAUAAUCAUGAAUGUGUCAUCUUAUAAACACCACUUUAUAUUGUAUAUAGAGAGGUACAGUUUUACUCGGCUUUUAUUGGUGACAAACUUCUGCAGGAUGUACCUAUGUGUUUCGAAUAUGCUGAAAUUACCUAUUUGACAUUGUACAGGUCUCGUUCAAGUGAUGUUUGUUUUAAUUUUAUUUAAAAAAAUAAAUACAAAUUUAAAUGUGA